UCCCUGGUGGCUUAGACAGUAAAGCGUCUGUCUACAAUUCAGGAGACCUGGGUUUGAUCCCUGGGUCGGGAA
This is a transfer RNA of Ovis aries (sheep), 72 nucleotides long. It matches the Rfam family "tRNA". From Rfam's summary of the family: Transfer RNA (tRNA) molecules are approximately 80 nucleotides in length. Their secondary structure includes four short double-helical elements and three loops (D, anti-codon, and T loops). The record is from Rfam. NCBI's taxonomy places the organism in Eukaryota, Metazoa, Chordata, Mammalia, Artiodactyla, Bovidae.